This 53-nucleotide ribosomal RNA is filed under the name Escherichia coli. RNAcentral describes it as "partial 16S ribosomal RNA". The record is from RNAcentral. RNAcentral also lists the same sequence under 4 other names. Lineage: Bacteria; Pseudomonadati; Pseudomonadota; Gammaproteobacteria; Enterobacterales; Enterobacteriaceae.
UUAAAUUGAAGAGUUUGAUCAUGGCUCAGAUUGAACGCUGGCGGCAGGCCUAA